AGUGAACGCUGGCGGUAGGCCUAACACAUGCAAGUCGAACGGCAGCACAGGAGAGCUUGCUCUCUGGGUGGCGAGUGGCGGACGGGUGAGGAAUACAUCGGAAUCUACUCUGUCGUGGGGGAUAACGUAGGGAAACUUACGCUAAUACCGCAUACGACCCACGGGUGAAAGCAGGGGACCUUCGGGCCUUGCGCGAUUGAAUGAGCCGAUGUCGGAUUGGCUAGUUGGCGGGGUAAAGGCCCACCAAGGCGACGAUCCGUAGGUGGUCUGAGAGGAUGAUCAGCCACACUGGAACUGAGACACGGUCCAGACUCCUACGGGAGGCAGCAGUGGGGAAUAUUGGACAAUGGGCGCAAGCCUGAUCCAGCCAUACCGCGUGGGUGAAGAAGGCCUUCGGGUUGUAAAGCCCUUUUGUUGGGAAAGAAAUCCAGCUGGCUAAUACCCGGUUGGGAUGACGGUACCCAAAGAAUAAGCACCGGCUAACUUCGUGCCAGCCGCCGCCGUAA
RNAcentral lists this ribosomal RNA (506 nucleotides) under uncultured bacterium. RNAcentral's name for it is "partial 16S ribosomal RNA". It matches the Rfam family "Bacterial small subunit ribosomal RNA", at positions 29 to 523 of the family's 1533-position model. The record is from RNAcentral.